AUGAUUAAAUGUUGUAUCGGCAUGGUUUUAUCUGUCUACUUUGCUUUUUAAAUUUGGUUGCCAGCUUCAACCUAAUUCUUGAUUUAGAACUAUGAUUUUGAACUAAAACAUUUCCGUGUUGAAUAAAAUACUAUUUAUUCUUAACUGUAUUUUUUUUGAGGCUUCAGUUAUCAAAUGUUGGUGGUAAUUCCCAACUUGAUAGUGGUUGCAUGCAGCCUUGUUGGGAGUGAAUGCAAAUAAAAAAAAUAAUAAAAAAUUUAGUUAUGCCACUGUGAAAGCGUCGAUUGUUAAGUAGACAUAAAAAGUUUGAAGUAUGCAUAAAGCCUGAAAGUGUCAAAUAUGGAACCUAAAAAAACCUGCCUUUGCCACUGACUGUAUAAAGGUUUUUCAAGGUCUGUUUGUCAAGCAUCAAGUCAGGUUAUCUUGCUACUGGUACCAUGUAGUACAUCCUGCUUAAGCAGGUUGUACGCCAUCUAUACGACGUUUGGGCAUCUGUUUGUAAAUAAUUGCUGCAAAUCUUUUUGAGAGAGCCAUUACUAUGGAGAACCAUCUAAACCAUACAAGUGUGGAAACAUGGAUGUAAAUCUUAAACACAUUUGUGAUAUAUAAUUGUAGAAUGUUAUAUGUUAUAAGUUUGGAAAUUAUAUUCUGCUAAAAAAAACUUUUUAAAUGUA
This is a long non-coding RNA of Hydra vulgaris (swiftwater hydra), 674 nucleotides long. RefSeq lists it as uncharacterized. Lineage: Eukaryota; Metazoa; Cnidaria; Hydrozoa; Anthoathecata; Hydridae. The record is from RefSeq and is a predicted model, not a curated record.